GACGAACGCUGGCUGCGUGCUUAACACAUGCAAGUCGAACGCUGAAACCCAGGUGCUUGCACCGGGGUGGAUGAGUGGCGACCGGGUGGGUAACACGUGCGUAACGUGCGCCCGACUUCGGGAUAAGCCCGGGAAACUGGGUGUAAUACCGGAUAUGAGGAUGCCUCGCACGAGGCAUACUGGAGAGUUUUUCCGGUUGGGGUUGGGCUCGCGGCCUAUCAUUUUGUUGGUGAGGUAAUGGCUCACCAAGACGACGACGGGUAGCCGGCCUGGGAGGGCGACCGGCCACACUGGGACUGAGACACGGCCCAGACUCCUACGGGAGGCAGCAGUGGGGAAUAUUGCACAAUGGGGGAAACCCUGGUGCAGCGACGCAGCGUGCGGGAUGACGGCCUUCGGGUUGUAAACCGCUUUCAGCAGGGAAGAAGCCCCUCGGGGUGACGGUACCUGCAGAAGAAGUACCGGCUAACUACGUGCCAGCAGCCGCAGUAA
RNAcentral lists this ribosomal RNA (492 nucleotides) under uncultured bacterium. RNAcentral describes it as "partial 16S ribosomal RNA". It matches the Rfam family "Bacterial small subunit ribosomal RNA", at positions 28 to 523 of the family's 1533-position model. The record is from RNAcentral.